CAGAGUGUAAAAACUCCCAAAACCCACUGUUUAUUUAUCUUUUAACGGUUUCCUUUGGUAGGCAAUCCCAGGGCGGGAUUGGUUUUGCUGUUUUUACAGCGCCUACCAAAGAUACCUAAAACUCUUGAAUUUUUAAAACUCUGAGUAACAAAACAAAUAAAUUA
RNAcentral lists this unclassified non-coding RNA (164 nucleotides) under soil metagenome. Its description in RNAcentral is "partial internal transcribed spacer 1". The record is from RNAcentral.